UUGCGGUUUUGGGUUUGCACCUCUGCGAUCUCUGCGUCCGCCUCUGCGAUCUCUGCGUCCGCCUCUGCGAGCGACUGCUUCUGCUUCCAUCUCUGCAAUCUGCAUCUCUGUUUAUCCUCUGCGAUCACCAGGCUGCUUCUGCUUCCAUCUCUGCAAUCUGCAUCUCUGCGUCUGCCUCUGCGAGCGACUGCCUGCUUGCAUCUCUGGAAGCGGUGGAAGUGAUCGGCAACUGCCUGACUGCAAUCUGCAUCUCCGCCUCUGCCUUGCCUUGCGACCUCACUGAGUCAUUGCUUACCAGCUAAUAUGAACUCCAAUUACCAACAAUACCAGUUCCAAAACCAAAAGUUGGUGUAGGAAGGAAAGGCAACUAAUCCUGUGAUGAUUGAGGAAAAUAUGGAGGAAAUCCAGGUGGCUGAGCACCAUAAGGAACCAUUGGAACUGCAGUAAUCCUGCCUCCAGUGCUAGGAGAUUCAACAUCAGAAGACUGUGAAAUAGAUGGACCAUUUUUAAAUUGUGAACUCCUUGAAGACCUAGAACCACCAUGCAUGUAUAAAGCUGACAUACUAUCAGAUAAAGAGUUUAUGGCAAUGUUAUUUUCUCUUUCAGCACCAAGAAGCAAAGCUUUUAAUUAUUUCAUAGAAAUAGAGGUAUCUUUUGCAAAAACUACCGUUCUAAUGGUAGCAUAUUCAUUGGGCAAUCCAGCUAAAGUAGCAAUGAUAACAUCAUUGUGAGAAA
Malus domestica (apple) is the source of this 735-nucleotide long non-coding RNA. RefSeq lists it as uncharacterized. Lineage: Eukaryota; Viridiplantae; Streptophyta; Magnoliopsida; Rosales; Rosaceae. The record is from RefSeq and is a predicted model, not a curated record.